GAUUUUGGAUCCAAGCAAUUUAGUCAACAAUUGUGAGGGAAUAGAUCUUAAAAUUUUAGCUAAUUUCAUGAAGAGGAUUUUGGUUAUUCCCACAUUUAGUUUAUUUCUCAGUACUGUUUUGGUCUCGAUCCAAAAUGCUCCUAAUUAUGCUUCUCAUGCAGUUCUAUUUGAAUGAAUCUCGAGAAAGUAUUAUUAAGUUCUUGUUAUCUGCAAAUUUUGAGUAUUAUUAAGUUCUUGUUAUCUGCAAAUUUUCAGUUAUUGGCUUGUAAAUGCUUAGUGUUAUAAAUUUCAGUUAUAAAUUAUAAUAGUUUUUUUUUUGUGUGUGUCUAUUGAAGAGCUGGAUAAGUGUCUAUGCUACUUAAAUCACUCUUUAUUUGUUAAAUAAGGAUGCUGUGUCGUUUAUCCUAAAAUAACACCACAUAAAGAAACUCCAUACGCGAAAUGGGAAUUCAUUGGAUGAAUAACCAAGAACCCGAUGUGCAAAGAAAAUGAGCCAUGGUUGUUUUUGUCUAUCAGCUGUUGAGAAGCAAUGCUCAAUGAAUUUAUAUUGCUCUGUCCCUGGUCUCCAAUCAUGCUCAGUGUCAGCUACACAAAAGCUGAACAUGCCAUAAUCAGUUGAAUACCUGAAAAAGAACAGUAAUGGACUUUAUGAUCAGUAUUCUGAUUAAUGCUAUUUGAAGCCGCAUCAAUGGAGUGAUUAUAGGUUGUCUUUGGUGAUAUCUUUGAUCUUUUCGGAACCGCUCCAGAUUCAACUGCAGGUUUCUCUUGGAUCUCUCUGUCAACAUGAAUACAAAUUCAUCCGAGGCACAUCCUGGAGCAAAACAAUUUCGUUACAAACCUGUACCGUGUUUUGAAAACUUGCAAAUCAUUUAUGGGAAAGACAGGGCUGGUGGUUUAUCUUCUGAAACUAUCAAAGAAAGACGUGCUCGCAUAGAAAAUGAAAGAGAUGAA
This is a long non-coding RNA of Asparagus officinalis (garden asparagus), 951 nucleotides long. RefSeq lists it as uncharacterized. The record is from RefSeq and is a predicted model, not a curated record. The transcript is spliced from 3 exons. NCBI's taxonomy places the organism in Eukaryota, Viridiplantae, Streptophyta, Magnoliopsida, Asparagales, Asparagaceae.